GGAGACGGCUUUACAAAAUUGCAUGACGAGUCCAAGUUAAGAUCCUGCAUCAUGGCAAUACACAGCCAAAAAUGAUUUGUAGAUAACAAAAAAACAUGCUUGGCAACGAUAGAGUCUAGCUCCGAUCUGUUGGAUGAAAGAGUGGCAAUAAAAAGGAAACACAUAAAUGGUUUUGUUUCAAUCCUUCUAUGUAAGGCAUUUGGCUGCGUUUUAGUACUAAAUUACACUAUUGUAUACAUUCCUCUUCAUAAAAUAUAUAUAUAUAUAUAUAUAUAUAUAUAUAUAUAUAUAAUUAUUGUGUUUCUUCUGGAAAGCUUUGUUUAAGUAUUAGUUGGAUUUGGAUUUGAGAUAAUCUAUGUUUAUAAAUUGUUUUCAACAAGAAA
Molecule: long non-coding RNA, 383 nt
Organism: Arabidopsis lyrata subsp. lyrata
Lineage: Eukaryota; Viridiplantae; Streptophyta; Magnoliopsida; Brassicales; Brassicaceae
Exons: 2
Source: RefSeq, a predicted model, not a curated record